This 251-nucleotide ribosomal RNA is filed under the name uncultured prokaryote. RNAcentral describes it as "partial 16S rRNA". It matches the Rfam family "Bacterial small subunit ribosomal RNA", at positions 525 to 775 of the family's 1533-position model. The record is from RNAcentral.
ACGGAGGGUGCGAGCGUUAAUCGGAAUCACUGGGCGUAAAGCGCACGUAGGCGGUGUCGUAAGUCGGAUGUGAAAGCCCUCGGCUCAACCGGGGAACUGCAUUCGAUACUGCGAUGCUUGAGUGCCGGAGAGGGUGGCGGAAUUCCAGGUGUAGGAGUGAGACCCGUUGAUAACUGGAGGACAUCCAGUGGCGAAGGCGACCACCUGGACGGCAACUGACGCUGAGAUGCGAAAGCGUGGGGAUCAAACAG